CCUACGGGUGGCAGCAGUGAGGAAUAUUGGUCAAUGGACGAGAGUCUGAACCAGCCAAGUAGCGUGAAGGAUGACUGCCCUAUGGGUUGUAAACUUCUUUUAUAUGGGAAUAAAAUGUUCCACGUGUGGGAUUUUGUAUGUACAAUAUGAAUAAGGAACGGAUAAAUACGUGCCAGCAGCCGCGGUAAUAAGGAGGAUCCGAGCUUUAUCCGGAUUUAUUGGGUUUAAAGGGAGCGUAGGUGGAUUGUUAAGUCAGUUGUGAAAGUUUGCGGCUCAACCGUAAAAUUGCAGUUGAAACUGGCAGUCUUGAGUACAGUAGAGGUGGGCGGAAUUCGUGGUGUAGCGGUGAAAUGCUUAGAUAUCACGAAGAACUCCGAUUGCGAAGGCAGUUCACUGGACUGCAACUGACACUGAGGCUCGAAAGUGUGGGUAUCAAACAGGAUUAGAUACCCUUGUAGUC
Molecule: ribosomal RNA, 460 nt
Filed under: uncultured bacterium
Lineage: Bacteria
Description: partial 16S ribosomal RNA
Rfam family: Bacterial small subunit ribosomal RNA
Source: RNAcentral